CCUACGGGAGGCAGCAGUGAGGAAUAUUGGUCAAUGGGCGCGAGCCUGAACCAGCCAAGUAGCGUGAAGGAUGACUGCCCUACGGGUUGUAAACUUCUUUUAUAAAGGAAUAAUGUGAGGCACGUGUGCCUUUUUGUAUGUACUUUAUGAAUAAGGAUCGGCUAACUCCGUGCCAGCAGCCGCGGUAAUACGGAGGAUCCGAGCGUUAUCCGGAUUUAUUGGGUUUAAAGGGAGCGUAGAUGGGUUGGUAAGUCAGUUGUGAAAGUUUGUGGCUCAACCGUAAAAUUGCAAUUGAUACUGGCAGUCUUGAGGACAGGUGAGGUAGGCGGAAUUCGUGGUGUAGCGGUGAAAUGCGUAGAUAGCACGAAGAACUCCGAUUGCGAAGGCAGCUUACUAAACUGCCACUGACAUUGAGGCUCGAAAGUGUGGGGAUCAAACAGGAUUAGAUACCCCUGUAGUC
Molecule: ribosomal RNA, 460 nt
Filed under: uncultured bacterium
Lineage: Bacteria
Description: partial 16S ribosomal RNA
Rfam family: Bacterial small subunit ribosomal RNA
Source: RNAcentral